AGUCAUAGGAAACAUGCAGCACUGAAAAUUUAAUACAAACACACCUCCCAAAACCCCCACAAAAACCAGCCACAGUUUCCUAUCACAGGGGAUAUGACUCACGUCUCAGCAGGGGUACACAUACCUUAUUAUAGUCGCAAAAGAAAAAAAGAACAUGUCUCAAACAAAUGUCUCCCCCAAUAUCAUCUGCACAGGGCAGCUGUUUGUGAAAAUCUUUUUGAAACUUGCAAAGUAAUUUCUGUCUUUGUGGUUGGUCCAUAGUGCUGUGGCUUGUUUUCACCACAGUGACUCUUAAUUUAAGGAACAAAAUGAUGGCAAUGACUCCUUUAACCAUAAUCAGCUGAAUUCAGACUCAGUUUGGAGAUGAAUGGAAAGAGAAGGCCCUUGGCUGACCUGGCCUCUGGACCUCCCAGAAACUGCUCCCACACUCCAGGGGCUGUCCCAGAAGCCCCACAGGAUCCUAAGCUGGUAUCUUUGUUUCAAGUGGUGCAAAUUUCCCAUUCUCUGCAUGUACCGAGAAGAUUCGUGGAAUAGUCCCUGUGGAUACUUCUAGCUGUGGCUAAGAUUCUUAAUCCAGUGCCUUGGACCACUCUGCCACGCUACUCAGCUACAGCUAAGAUUUUUUACACCACAAAGACAACAAAAAUCAGAGUCAGCAAAUGGAAAUGGUGCUUGGGGCAAAAUCUGCAGGGGAGGAGGCCAAAUUUCCAGGAGUCAUUUCCCAGUGGGGGCCCUCAAGAUGGGCCCAUUUCUCUGGCAAUGAGUGAGGACAGCAGGUAGGAAAGGGGGAAUUAUCAGGGGUACUCCCCCAGAGAUGUUUGCCCAGGGGUUUCACUGUGGGCCUAGGACACAAUAAGAUUCCAGACUUAAGAGCCCUUUCUGUCCUUCUUUGGGUACUAUGAAAGCAGGUGUUCAGUCCGAACCAAUCCUUGUGUCAUUAGACAGACCACAUUGUUUGUCCCACUUUAGAAAUGUGGGGGACACUCCAGUGGCAGAAGCUUCUUUGUGUUAACUUGGAGGGGUGUUGGAAAGAGAUGAACAUUUGAAUCAGUGGGUAUCUGUGGCUAUAAAUAACAUAGAGGAGCCCAUCUAGUGAACAAGAGGCCUGGAAGAAUAAUACCCAGCCUGCCUCCCUGAGCAAGAGUGAAAUCCUGAACAGACGCUUCUGGACUUCAAAUCAGCUCACCGGUGUUUCUUCCCACCAGCCCGUGGACUGGAACUGCACAUCAGCUCUUUUGAGUCUAAAGCCUGCCUAGCUACUCUGCAGAUUUUGGACUCACUAUCAGUGGCUUGUUAGUCAGUUUCGUACAAGACACUUUCUUCUCAUCCUACUGGUUCUGUUUCUCCAGAAACCUUGACCCCUCCCCAAACUAAAUUUUUCCAGAUACCAGCCAAGCCUCAACCUUGCAAGUAGAUUUUGCAAGAAUUGCAGAGCCCUUGAGAGAAGUCUCCCUCCACUGUGCCUUCCUGUUAACUCAUUUCUGCACAUUACUAACUUGCGUGCCAGAAGUCACAUGGAUGUUAAACCAUGGAGCAGUGGAGCUCACAAGCAAUCAUGGAGUUGAAGAAAAAGUACAUGGACAGAAGUUGACUGUUAGUGUAGGAAUGGUUGAGACAGCGGGCACAGAACCCGGAUCAGUGGCUUUCCUGGGGUAGGGGAACAUUCAAUGAGGACUCCAGAGUAAUGAGACUAAUUGUGGAGGACUGAAGAAGGCUAGAAACUCUUUGCCAUUCCUUACACGAAUAAGUAGAGUUGAUUUCCUGUAUUCCUAGAUCUGGAAUGGUAUGUAUUUACUGUCUCUAAUAGAAUGCAGUCAGUGUGGCAUUGUGGGAGUCCUGGAAAGGAGCUUUAAGCAGCCUGGCCCUUUUGUGUUUCUGUUCUUGGGACCCCUGAAUAGACAGGUGAUGAUGCCUGAGUACCUGCUGAAGAAACCAAGAGAAGGGGUGAGGGAGAACAGCCAGACACAAUAGGACCAGCUGUUCCAACUGAGGUGACACCCAGCUAAUUAAUGUCACUGUGCCUUAGCCAAAGUCAGCCUCAGAGGAAGCGUUGGAUAAAGACAGACUGUCAUAGCAUCACCCUGCAGGGUCCCACGGUGACCACGGAAUCAUGAACAAAUAAUACAAUGAGGUGGCUUGAAGCCAGUAACUGUGGGCAUCUGACUUCACAGCAAGAGAUAAGCAUUACAGAGUGGCAGCUGGGACAGUCGGAGCACAGUGGCUUCCUUGUAAUGAUGGAGCCCAGAGCAAAAAGCAGGAGCAAGACAUCUGAGCUGAGGCAGCAGGGCGGCUCGGAUCUUUUCCUGCCAGUUUUCCACUGUUUCACAACACUGACGUGUGUCACUUCACAGCAAAAACAAUCUGUACCCUUCUGAAUGAGGCACUACCCCGGAAUCUCUUCCAGACCUCAUCAGCCCUCAAACCACGGUCUGUGAGCAGCCGAGGGAGAUCCCAUACACAGUGAGUCAUGUUUAUCUUUGGAGUGCUGAACGCCUUGUGUGGAUCUUAGGUCACCGCUGACCCGUAGCCUGCAGCUUGUUUCUUCACCGGGAGCCAAAACACAGUGCAUAACCUCAUCUCCGGCAACAUUCUCAACAGGGCCCGAGUGUCUGUGCACGGGUGCCAAAUGUGCCUACAGUGAGUCCAGAAAUGUAAGAAUUGCCCACAGCCAGUCUGGCCGAUUUUCUGGACAGUACUGUUGAGGGCCUGCAAGAAAUCCUGGAUCACAGGGGUCAGCUCUCAGCUGGGAUUAGUGCUCCAUAAAUGACCCUGAUGGUAUCUGCUAGCCUCUCCAUUAUGAGGACAUAGCUUACAAGCUUCGUAUCAAACAUGACAUCUCUUUGUCCCUCCCUCACUCACCAAGAAGUCUACCACACCUGUGAGUACAUGGGAAGCACACAUUGAACUUGGUGGGCUAUAAGAGGCUGGGAAAAGGCUGGGGUGGAUCUGGAGGAGUUAGGGGAAUAGUGUAAAUGAAAAUGAUCAAAGUGCAUCACAUGUGUGUAUGAAAUUUUCAAAGGAUUAGCCAAAAUGUUAUAUUAAAUAAAAGAGCUCUACCACUAAGCUGUAUUCCACCUACAAACACCGAACAUUCUGAUGUCUUUUUCUGGCACCUCUGAGCCUCCAGAAAAGGGAGGACUAAAUCACUGCUUUUCAUAACUCAACUAAGCUGUGUGUGAGAGAGGGGUACACGUGUGUCAAGCUAUGGUUGUGAAGGGCUACACAGGCCAAGGUAUGGGCAUGGAGGUGUGUGUGGGAGGAGGGCUACACAUGUACCAGGGUAUGGUGAUGGGGGAUGUUCUUCUGUAUGCUGUGAAUAUACAAUAUACGUUUCUCUUAUUGGUUGUUGAAUAAAGCUGUUUUGGCCGAUGUACUGGCGGGAUGUAGUCAGGCAGGAAGAAUAGGCAGGGCUACCAGACUAGAAUUCUGAGAAGAGGAACAGAGUGAGUGAGUUGUGGGAGAGAUGCCAUGUAGCUGCCCAGAAAGAAAGAGGUCUGGACAUCACCAGUAAGCCAAGACCACAUGGAGAUACACAGAUUAAUAGAAAUGGGUUAAAAAUUAAGAGAGAGCUAGCCAAUAAGAAGCCUAAGCUAUAGGCCAAACAGUUUAUAAUUAAUAUAAGCCUCUGUGUAUAUAUUGGAGAUUAAACAGCUGCAGGGCUGGUCUACAUAUGGAUGAGGAGGUAUGGGGAGUACACAUGUACCAGGAGUACGGUUAUGCAGGCAUGGGGGGAGGGGUAACACAUGUGCCAGGGUAUGGAUGUGGAGGUCAGAGGACAAUUUAAAGACUUCGUUCUCUGCUUGCACUAUGUGGGUUCCAGGGAUUGAACACAGGUUAUCAGGAUUGGUGACAAGUGUCUAUACCUCCUUAGCUAUCUCACUGGUCCCCAGUUUGCUUCCAGAGAUGUCAUGUCCUUUUUCUUAGGCAGCAACUCGUGACAGUCAUCCCAUGAUAGCAAGGUUCCCUCUAAGACUCAUCAUCUCUUGCCUUGGACCACCACUGGCAACAUCAUGAGGCCAGGAAACACCUCUCUGCCUCUCAGGCUAGUCACAAGCUAAUCUCAGCUAAACAACAAAGCUUACCAAAGAAUUGAAUUAGUUAUUUCCAUAAAAGUGGAUCCUCUUUUAUACAUGACCCAUCAUUAAUAGUUCAAAAUCCUCAGACUCUAGCUAAGCCAAAUGUCCUGAAUCCCAUGUAUUCUGGGGACAGAAUUAUAUUUCACUGUAGGGACAUUUUCCUUGACCUUCUGUUGCCAAAUACUUUACUCCAGAGUUUUCUGCUCCUUCCCUUCUUGUCCCUCUUUCCUCAUUCAUCUUACCUAAAACACACACAGGCACACACACACACACACACACACACACAGAGAGAGAGAGAGAGAGAGAGAGAGAGAGAGAGAGAGAGAGAGAGAGAAAGAGAGAGAGAGAGAUUCUGAUUAAGGCUAUUCUUGUUGCCAUGUAAGACUUGCUGGCCAAAUUGUGGUGAAAUUUAACAAUGUGGUGAGAACAAGAAAUUGUGGCGUCGGGGAUAAGUAGUGUCCUGGUGAUGCCAGGGGCUACUCGUCGAGCUGACCGUGUGCUGAAAAUGGCAGACACUUCUUAAAAUGGCCCUUGGAAGAGCCAAUGGGAAUCCCAAGUAAAUGUCAGCCUUCUUGCUGACAGACAGGGAGGGGGAGUUGGGGAAGAGGGACUUCUAUUUUCCCAGUCAGGGUGAAUUUCCUCCAUUGUGAUAAGUGACCUCUUCUAUUUCCUAGCAAACUAGAUUAUAACCCUCCAAAAUGAAACACCUCGCCACUAAUACCUUCAUGAAAUGGGGUGGACAGCUGUUGUAUUUGCCUGUCUAGGCUGUAUCACUCUCUAGUCUGAUAACAGUCCGCUGGGAUCAUGGUGGGGGACAGCUCACUCCAUACUGGUGUCUAGGGCAGGCUCAAGACUCAAGCUGUGUCACCCCAGAAAGGAACACACUUGCCAAAAAAACUUUCUAAAAUGAAACUCAUUCACAUGCCUUGAUUCCAACCUCAGUAACCUGAAGAGGAUCCAGGCUGAACCUAGGCUCUCAUAGCUGCUCACACACCUGUACUGAGACCGGACUCUUAUGCCAUCAUUUUUAUUCUGGGAGCCAGUCCUAGACUUUUCUUUCUCUUUCCUUUUGAAAUCUUACAAUAUGGGUCUCUUGUGUCUUGUGUCUUCAGUCAAAUACCUCAAAGACCCAGUGGAAGAAGAGAUGGACCUGGGAUAUCACGAGAGGAAAUGUUGUAACCAUGCUCAUUCAUUAUUUGCUCUAUUGGGGAGUCUGUGGUGUUUCCCAAAAGUAUAUGUGCUAAAAAGGCAUAGUCCCAGCUUGGUUUUAUUGACAAAUGGCAGAACCUUUAGGAUAUUAGACCCAGGGAGAGGUCACUGGGGAUGCAUCUCUGCAGGGGACAGUGAGACUCUUGCCAUUCUUUGCUCCUUCUUUGCCUUUUCUACCUCAUCUGUACCAUAUGUUCAUACCACAAGAGUCUGUGCUGCCACUGGCCCAAAGCAGUGGGAUCAAGCAACUAUGAACCCUCUAAGUCUGCGAACCCAAAUAAAUGUGUCUUCUCAUAAGUAGAUUUAUUUCUAGUAUUUAUUGUGAUAGCAAAGAUUUGACAAAAACAAACAUGUACAGCAGGAAAGCCUGAUUCUCUCAUUUCUUGUUCAUGUUCAUUUCACCAUGAAGUCACAAAUUUCACGGCAACCCUCCUUCCCCCUACCAUAGCCAUCAUUUCUUUACUGAAUACAUUUUGAACACCUGCUGUAUGUCAGACUGUGAUUGUAAUGGCAAAAAUUCUGUUUUUGGUGAGGCUUGCAUUCCAAAAGGAAAAAGAGACAUUACUGAAGCAAACAAGUAGAUUAGCAAAGCAGCUGGACACAACAGUAUGAAAUAGGAGAAUGGCACAGAGUAACCACAGCCUUGUGGUUAGGGGAAACCUGCCUGAAGAGCAGACUUUCAAGACAUAGAUCAUUUUGGGGGAAGCAACCAUGUGAAACUAUGUGGGAAGGAAUGUUAUCUAGGCAAACAAAACAGCAAGGGAAAAGCCCCGACGUGGGGACAAGCAUGAUGUAUCACAACACAUGUGAGAGAAAGAUACAAAAUGGCCAAGGACAUUUGCAGGGGCCAAGUCAUGCUUGGGCUUCUAGACUUCACUAAGCUAAGAAGUUUGGAUUCAUCUUCAUUACUGAAAGAUUUCGGUGGAGAAGCAUAGGACAAAUGCUACAAAUCUCUGACCAUAGUCACUCAUUCAGCAAAAUGCUGCUCACCGAUACUGAUUAUUGAGUAUUGUGAGGCACAAGAUGACCUCAAAAGACUGACACUCUCAGGGAGAGAGAUCAUCAAUCCUGUAAUAAAACAACACUCCAGAGUUCCCCCUGAGGAAACAACAAAAAAGUUAAAGUAAUCUGUGGAAUGCAGACAAAGAACUGCACACAGUUUUAUGGAGGAAUUAACGCAAGGAGGAAUCUGUUCUUCAAUAGCUGCAGUAAAAUGUGCCCUGUUCUGGUUUGGAACAAGCGGAAGCAUACGUGAAUUUCUGUCUUACACUGAAAGUUCCCUGUGACUCUAGUUUAAUGAUUUGCGACUGUUGCUGCUGCAACACUAACUGAGAAAUUUCCUAAGUGGAUGCAGACAAACUAAACUAAGGAGGAUCCAGUGUGCAUUGGAGACCCAGAGCUGUACCGGGGAUAGCUUUCCUCAGGGUGUGCUUCUGCAGCUCUUCUCAUGAUGGCUCCAUCAAGAAAGGGCUUCAUAGUUAGGUGGGCUACACACCUCAUCCAAUGAGUGAGCGUCUGAAUCCCAAGCCAAAGACCUAGACAGCAACAACAAAUAGAAAACUGUUGGUCUUAUUUGCUUGCCUCUAUAUUUCCCAAAGUUGAUUACCUUUGGAGCUCAGUUUCAUGAGAAACGUAUCAAUUUCUUAUGGACCAGUCUUGAAACACUGCUUAAAUAAUUUACACAACCUAUCUUCUCUUCUAUAAAUAAUUUAAUCAUUAACUAUAGCCAGACUCCUACAGCAUCCCACAGAGAAAGAGAACCUGGAUGGACAGCUCCAAACUCUUGGUUCCAGCUUAGGUCAGAUGAGGCCAUGGCUCUGCAUUUGAAUUCCUUAAACCACAACACAAAACUGAAUGUUACUACUCAUCAAAGCUCCUGACAGGACUGAGUAAAGGACAAGCAAAAGAUGUGAGGAUAAUGUAUUCAACAAUUUUUAAAGAUUAUAUAUUAAGAUUCUAUGUUCUAUAUAUGCCAUAGUCUAUAUGCACAGCAUAUAUACUAUUCCGUUAUCUAUUAUAUAUACUUAGGAUAUGUUACCCAGAAUCCUUUAAUGAUAUAUGUGUAUAUCUUAUAUAAAACAUACAGACACUUUCUUUUAUUAGUUGAGAUCUAGGUUACUGCAAUCCACCCUUACAUUUCAAUGCUUUAUGUAGCAAAUGGUCCAUUUCUCUCACAUACAUCCUCCAUUUCAGGUAUUGCUCUUCAGGUAAUUCUCUUGGGUGAUUUCCAGCUAGAUAGAAACUCAGGGAUCCAGGUUUUCCUAACAGGGAAAAGAAGAAUGUAUGGAGGACUCCACAAAAUUAUUUAAUACUGCAAGUACGCUCUCAUUUUAUGGGUUAGAGCAGCUAUGGAACUCCUUCUCAAGGCAAGGCGCCUUGGGAAAAUGGUAUUUCUCAGUCCCACAAAGAAAUGGAGUCCGUAAACACAUAAUACAUAAGCACACAGUAUUGUCUUAGAGACAGAUAAAACUCCCAAAUAGUCUAUGAGCCUCUCUGAGACGUGGUGCUUGGUAGGUGCAAAUGCUCACAAGGAAGCAGUUGGUAUGGGUUUGUUUUCUUCUCUGACCACAUCCUUUGUUAACAUUUAGGACAAAGACCUUCUAAAGUCACGUGAACGAUUUCAGAGAAAACUGGAAAACACUCUCAUGGAAAUGCAGUCUGGAGAGAGACAGAGAGAGAGAGAGAGAGAGAGAGAGAGAGAGAGAGAGAGAGAGAGAGAGAGAGAGAGAGAGAGAGACAGAGAGAGAGACAGAGAGAGAGACAGAGAGACAGAGAGAGACAGAGAGAGAGAGAAUAAGACCCUACACAAACACAGCUAAGCACCAACCAUAGACUCUGCCAACUAUUCCAAACUAAUUGCUGCUGUGCACAGGCAACAUAAAUCUAUUUUCAAUUGUAGAUGGGGUUUCUUUCCUGCCUGGUCCCGCUGCCAUUUAAACAAGCAGGAAAGAAACCCUGUCCACAGGCAGUGGGAAAGGCUGAAAGGGUGACAUGGGUUGGAUAUGUGAACUAAUUGGAGCCAGAAGGAAAAUAUUGGGGAGCAGAAAUCUUUAUACAGUAUUUUUCAUCAGACUGUAAUCUUCCUAGCUACAAAAUUACAUAUAUAGGAAAGGCAGAAAAACACAAAACAAAGUGAAAACCACUAUUAAUCCCAGUUCCCAUCCACUCUACACAAAAUCCUCACUGUUUAAAUGAUUAUUAUCUACUGUUCUUAUAGAUGAACUCAACUUUUCAUAGCAUAUAUUUCCCUCUAAAUACCACACUCACUCUGCAGGUUUUGUGGCUCAUUUUUAUAAAGCUCACAAUAUCGUCUGGAUGUUUCAUAAUAUUAUUAUGGAUGGCUACAUAGUCAACAAUGGUUGAGCAUGACUGUUUCUAGCUUUUUUUUCUCAUGAAAAAAAUUGGCAUAUUGAGCAUCUCUCUGUGCCCAUUUUCUACAGAUAUCUGAUCAUUUGUAUUCUAAGAGAUUUGUGAUAAUGUUGACUAACACUUAAUGAAGUUUAUAGUGUGCUUAAUUUUGAAGUAAGUUUCUUACUUUCUGCAUCUAAGUCAGUCUUUCAAACAAGUGUCUGCUGGUCAUAUUAACAGUGUAUCCAUGCUCUACGUAAGGAAACAAUGUCUGAGAAAAGGUAAAUCCUUUGCCUGUUAUGAUACAGCUACUUAAUGGAAGAAACCGGAUUUGAACCCAGAGUGACUGACUUCAGCAUCCAAGAUCCUCCAUUUCCUACUCUACCCUGGAGAGCACUUAAAUUCUCACUAGCAGAUUAACCUUCAUGGAGAGUUGACAGAGUAAUGGAUAUGGCUUGAGAAGGGGUAUGUAUAAUCAAGAGGAACUGCUUAUAUGAUGGCUAAGAGAAGAAGAGAAGGUAAAGUUUUAUGAGGGACAGUAACUUUUGCCGGUUGAAGUAAAAACAAAAAACUAUGAGUUAAUAUAUCCAGAGAGGCAAAGUCAUUUCAAAGGACAAUCUCCAAGCCAAAGUUCAGGACUGUUUAAAAAUUAUUGAAAGGGACAAUGGGAGUGCCUGUCCAGUUGAACAAAGAGGAGCGAUGUCAAAACAGUACUUGAUAAAGACAUACUCUGAGUCGGUCUUUGAUUUAAGAAAGUGGCCUUUGGCUUGUGGAAUGAGAUAAAAUCCAAGUUUCUGAGGCCUUUUAGGAGACCCUUUGUCAUAAUUUUCCUCCAGUCUGACAACUUCUCUGUGGGGAUGCACUUUCUUCACAGUAGCUGGAGAAUCUGAAGGGAGCCAGAAGCCAGGGCCUUAGAUCCUGUUUUCACUUCCAGCCUCCACUCACAACCACUUCCCAGAAGGCCUUGCAAGUCCCUGAUGGAAUCAGGGAGGGAAGAUUGAUGGCAAGAGGCAGAAAAGUCAACUAUAGAAAUGUUAGGACAGGGUGGAAGAUGAGAAUUAUGAGUUUAUAUUCUGUGUUCAGACGACCUAGGUUCAAAUGCAGGUGACUGUUGACUAACAACAUGACUAGGGCGAGAUGACUAUCCUCACUGUACCUCAGUUUCCUUAAUUGUAAAAUAUGAUAGUAAUAAUAAUACCUACUCUGCAGAUCACUGUGAAGAUCAAAUGAGGAGAUCAAAGUCACAGAUGCGGGCUACCAUCCCCACAAGGUAAAGCCUGAUGGCUUGACAGUUCAUGCCCAUUGUCCCAGCUCUAGGACACCAUAGGCCAUCAUAGAUAUGUAUGAAUUUAAACAUGAGUUUAGGUCCUGUUAAACCCUUGUUCCUAUGGAACAGACACACAUUAAUUGAAAAUCCUAAAUAUGCUUAUUUACAAACAGCUUACACUCUAAUGCAGAGAUUCUCAACCUGUGGGUCAAGAUGUGUCCUUUUCACGGGGGUGACAUAUCAGAUAUCCUUAGUAUCAGAUGUUUACAUUACAAUUCAUAACAGUAGAAAAUUAUAGUUAUGAAGUAGCAAUAAAAGUAAUUUUACAGUUGGGGAUCACCAUAGCGUGAGGAACUGUGUUGAAGGACAGCAUCAGGAAGGUUGAGAACCACUGUGCUAAUGCUUUCUUUUCCCUUCUGAACUUUCUGGAAACCAGCUGCACUCUUCUAUGUGCACAGAGAACUCUUGGACCCAUGUCCCCUUUUACCUCCUCUCCGUCAGACCUUACUCCCCUCAUCUCUGCUUGCAGAUUAGGCAAUUUCUGUGUGCACAGAUGUACAAGGAUCUCAGCUCUACCAUCUCUCCUGUCCCAUUCCCCUGAUGGUAGCGGAAGCUGCAUCAGGACCAGGGACCUUAGCCAUACUGGUUAGAGGAAAUGUAAAUAUACUAGAGACUUGGUAUUGCUCCCAAGUUGGCAAAGUACCUAGAAGUCUCCUACUGAAAGGACAUAAAGACCCCCACCUACUGUCUCAAAUAUCUUUAACUGAAGCUUGUUCUCUUAGACGUUAGCAUUUCUAAUGCUCUCUAAACCUGAUGAUUUGUUUGAGGUCAACUAAUGGACCAAUCUUACAAUUAAAGCAAUAAUUAUAAGAUACACAGCUGCUUGCUGUACUGAGAAUUAAAUGGGAUGGAAGGGAUAUCUGGGAACUAACUACUAUGGAAGAAAUUAUGUCGAUGGGGAAAUGCACUCCAAAUUCCAGAUAACUCAUUCACUCACUGACUUUUGGAAUAUAAUGCUUUAAUAGGUUAAAAAGACUGACUAAAAAUAUUAAGUCUCUUAAUGAAAUUUUUAUUCAUGUAAUUCUUUGGAUUUUUAUCUUAAGAGAUUGAAGCAAUUCUAGUCUCCUCCACAAGAAUUGUUUCCCUGGUAUGGGAGACAUAAUUAAAAGAGGACUUUGGAUUUUCUGAGAUGAUAGGUAGGACCCAACUAUUUUAAUUAGUUUAAUGGAUGUAAGACCAAUUGUUUUAAGGCAGUAGACAAAAUGAUUCAUGUUAUUGGCAGGUUUGUCCACUUGAUUUCCCAAGGGUCAAUCAUUUCAGCUCACACGAAAGAUGCAUCUAUUGUAGGUGAGAACAUUUGAGAAAUAUUUUGGAAUCAUUUCAAAAUCACAUUCUACAUGUGGAAGUAACAGGAACCCAUCUAAAGCCUUUUUUAUUACCUCUACAAUACUAAUGAGUUCCCGCUCACAAGGAGACAUGACAUUUAUAUCCUUUCAAGUUUUCCUUCCUUUUGGGCAGCUUUAAAACAAAAACGGACUAUUUUUCCUUCAUCAUUAUAAACUGGGCAUCUGGUGAGAUUUUUAAGCAAACGAGUGAGAGUUAGCCAGGCUGUGGUGGUGCACGCCUUUAAUCCCAGCAGUUGGAAGGCAGAGGCAGGUGUAUCUCUAUGAGUUUGAGGCCAGCCUGAUCUAAAGGGUGAGUUCCAGGACAGCCACGGUUACACCAAGAACCACUGCCUCAAAUAACAACAACAACAACAAAGCUGAGAAAAAUACAUUUAUGAAGGACCUUUUUGUCUGUGAUUUAAACUCAAGCAGAAAAGCUGCCUCCUGCAAGUGGGCAGGGUGUGGGCCUGGCCAGAAGACUGGAUUUUGGCUCUGCUGCCUGGGGCUUUGAUGAAGUCACUCACGGGUGAGCCCCAUUAUCUCCAUCUGAACAAAUGAGGUUUGGCAUCGGUGCCUGUGAGCUCCUUCCCGACCCUCUGUUUUGUUUUUGUGGUUGGAAAUAAUGCAGGGAUUUGGGGGAUGCAAUCUUCCCAAAUCCAGGCUUUCCACUCUGUCACUUCAGGGGAAGCAAGGGGCUGCCAACAUCACUUUUGCUUUCAGUUCCUAUCAACACGAACUGUGCUUAAACAACCAGUAAGUUAGGCCUCUCUGAACAGCAAUUGGUAUGUUCCAAAAAUUAGCUUAAUUUCCCUUUCCUCCCCCCCCCCUUUUUCUUUUCCUCUCCUUCCUUCCUUCCUUUCACGUCUUAAAGAAAAAAAG
This 12164-nucleotide long non-coding RNA is filed under the name Cricetulus griseus (Chinese hamster). Its description in RNAcentral is "lncRNA (ENSCGRG00015029595.1)". The record is from RNAcentral. Lineage: Eukaryota; Metazoa; Chordata; Mammalia; Rodentia; Cricetidae.